ACUUCUGGAAAGACUGGGAUAUGCUCAAAAGGAGAGAGCUGACAGCCAUGUGAGACACACACAAUGGAGCUGGAAUUCUCUAAACAGUUUUACCGGACAUACGAGCCUUCAGAAUGAAGACCCAAAGGUGCCAGGAAAGCAAUCCAUUUUUAUGCUUAGGUUCAAUGGAAAACAGAAUUCCUGUCUUCCGGAUGUGGAGCAAGACCCCUUCGGAAAUGAGAAUCUUAUGACUUAGGAUAACUUGCAGUCAAACAAGAGUAUGCCAGCUGGUUUGCUCAAGCCUCAGUUGGUAAUUGUGCAUAAGAGACUGCUGCUCUUAGACAUCCCAAUGCAAAAGUCUCACUUAUUCAGGUCUCAUGUGCUCCUAAACCAACUUGAAACACUUUCCUUACUCUAGGUG
Non-coding RNA from Callithrix jacchus (white-tufted-ear marmoset), 400 nucleotides. The record is from RefSeq and is a predicted model, not a curated record. Lineage: Eukaryota; Metazoa; Chordata; Mammalia; Primates; Cebidae.